This 4476-nucleotide long non-coding RNA is filed under the name Daphnia magna. RNAcentral's name for it is "uncharacterized LOC116936595". The record is from RNAcentral. Lineage: Eukaryota; Metazoa; Arthropoda; Branchiopoda; Diplostraca; Daphniidae.
GAAAUGACGAGUUGAUGAAUUCAUUCCUGUGAAUGAAGUCUGCGUCACCAAUUGUUACGACAUGGCAGACGAUACACUACCGAUCCCCUUUCUUUUUUAGUAAAUUAACAAUAUAAAUAGUAAACUUCCGAGUCUUAAACGAAACGAAAUUCAUGCGUGGAAUUCUUUAUUUUCUAAAAGAACAAAUUUCCGGAGUUGUACGGGAAGUACGAGAGGACAUGAAAAAUAUUCUUAACUGUUGGGUUGAUCAAAUCUAAUUGUUUACGUGACUCGGCUAGAAAAUGAAGAAUUUCGCUGGUCGUGAUUUACGGGCUGUUGUGCAUGCCGCAUAACAAAACAAACUUGAAAAAGAAACGGGGGGUUAACGGUGGUCUAGAGGAAUGAUGGACAAAUAUUUGUCAGAAAUUUCGUUCGUUGCCCCACGCUGAUGCACGACAGUUAGUAAUUGAUUUCAUAGAAAAAGCGGAAGUCGACGACACACACACACAAAAAAAAACACAACGCACUUCUUUGUCAUAUGUCAACCAAUAGGGAAGUAAAUAAAUAAAAAAUGUUUCUUACUUCGGUCGGGAAUGUACGGGAAAAAAAAAGUCGCUUACGUAGCCGUUCAUUGUGCGACAUAAAAGGUUAAAAGGGAAAAAAAUGAUAAUAAUGAAUAGAGAAAUAUUACGAUAUAUAACCCAUAGAAAAGUUUUUACCAUUUCAAAGUGUUCCCUCGUCAAGUCCGUUCUUGUCGGUGCCCUCCCGCGGUGCGCAACGCGGUUCUUUCUUUGCCCGUUUAGCCCGACGGGUUGUCGAGACGAAGACGACGUCAUAACGCAAAAGACACGCAUGACGAAAGGAAAACACAUUUGAGUACCGUAAUAAGAGAACAUUCUCUUCAUCUCGUGUAUAAUACAAAACAAAAAGACGACCUUUGUUUAAAGACGUUAAACGGGAAACAUCUGACGCCAUAUUUUUCUUUUUGUUCCGUUCAAACGAAAUUCCGCGUAAAAACCCUUCAAAUUUUUUUUUUUUUUUUCAUUAAAAAAAAUUAUAAUUACAAUAAAUUGUGAGAAAUUCAACAGGAAAACUGCUGUUGCUCCAAUCAAGCCAUCAGCUUCAUCAACAAGCUCUUUGAUGGAUAGGCUCUGCACUUGUAACGCAGUCGUGAUGAGCAACAGCGAGCAGCUGGCCGCGUAGUAGCAAGCCCAGUCAUAUCCUGUUUGAGCAGAGAGGAAAAAACAAAACAAAAAAAAAGGGCCGAUCCGUAAAACUGACCGGAGAAGAACAAAAAAUUGUUGAAUUUCUCUUUACUGUCGGAUUUAAAAAAAAAAGAAAGAAAAACUAACGUUCCGCUUUCUUUCUCAAACGGCUCGCGUCUUUUGUUAUACGAUCGACACGAACAUAAUAAUAAUGAGCGACUGUUUACUCUCUUGUCUUCGUCAUCUAUCUUUCCAUUUUUUUUUUUUGCCCAAAUAAAAAGAUGAUUGAAAUGACGUCACAGAAGUUUCGUUAUUCAAUAGUGGGAACGUUGGCUUCUGCCAAAAUUGGCGAACGAACGCAAAGAUGUGCAUAUAUAAAAAAACGACUGUGAAUUAUCGCGUUAAUCUGCGCAGUGCUAGAACGCAUUCAGAGCGUGAAAUAAGGUUUCGCCUUUUUGCUAAUGUGCUUCGCACCGAAUGCAACGAUCGAGAAGAAAACGCGGGAGUCAGCGAACUGCAGCCGCUCAGUUAGAGACUGACGACCGCAUCGUGAAUCACAAACGACGUGAAUAUUAGGGUCUACACAGGCGAAAGAACAGCGACAACGACCGCGGGAGUGAACCUUCUUUUGGCGACGAUGGUUGAAUAUACUCACGACAAUAUUUGCUGGUUGCAAAAGAAAAAGAGAAAAGAAAUUUUUAAAAAAUUGUAUAUACGCAAUCAAACAAUUGACUGCGCAUAGUCUGAAAACGAUAAAUCGACUUUCACUUCCAUUUGGAAAAUCCUAAAACUUCCAUUGAACUUUGUUGUGUUGUUGGCCGGCAGCGAUGCGAUUGUAAAUAUUUGCAUCGGAAAGCGACUUGAAAUUAGCGACCCGUGUUUUCUGUUAGCGCGUUUCAUUUUCAGCGUUGCUGGGCUUCUUUUGACGGCUGUAAAUUCCUUCCAUCCGUAGAGCAUCAUCAGGCCUCUCUGUUCUUUAAAAUGUGCGCAUAAUCAUAAUCAUUUAGUUUUCUAUUACACCUGAGCUGUUUCGCUGUUGUCGGCGAAUUUUUAUUCAGUUUUCUACGACGCACAAAAGUCUCCGCCGGUCGUUUACAUUUUCCGUGAACCAGUUUUUGCGAAAUGCGUUUUUACAAUCAAAAUGGGUCGGAGAAAAGCCUUUUAUUUUAAAUACUUGCAUACAUAAUUAUAAUGUUCGCGAACUUUUUUUUUUAUGAUUUUCUUUUUCCUGUACAACUUCAAAUAUAAUUUGGCUAUAGGCUUUUUCAUGCAAAUAACAACUGAGAAAAAAGAGUCACGAAACUUCUGCUGCCGCACAUCCCGUGAUUUAUUUAUGAUUAGGACCCAUACAGCGACGCCAGAUUGUUUGCUAUCAUUGUCUAAAUUUUUAUUUCUUUUCUUUAAAAACAACCAUGCCGUGUCAACCAACACGACAACGGUUCGGUAGAUUGAUGAUAUACCUUUGCGCACAGGAAUUAUGGAGAAGCCUUUUUUAUAUUUUACACUCUCUCAUCAAUUCGAGCAUUUUACAAUAAGAAACGGAGGCCAAAAGAAAAGCUUCCACCUUUGCGUGACGAAGACUACUUGGCUUUGAAUGACAGUUGACUUUGUGCCUUACCUUUUGCCCUUGAUGUACAGAAUUUAUUGUGUGUUGCACUCAAACCAUUUUGAUUCGUUAUAUCUCAACACAGACUUUUAAUAGAGUACGAACGAUCUAUACGAAUAUCGGUUUCAAUCUUUAGAAACAAUUCAUCGCUAUCCCUUAAAACAAAAUCGAUAUAUUUCUUUCACGAAUCGCGGUCGAGGUAAAACGUAAAGCUGAGAGAUGGGCAGGUAAGAAGUCACGACCGCUACAACUAUAUAGCAGCUCCCGCUCAAUGACGUAGCGGAUCGUGAGUAACGUUGUAUGCGGAUAGUGAUGGUGAAAAACAUAGUAGGCUAUACUCAUUCCGUCUGCACGCCAUCUGUGCCUUUUUUUUUUCACGCAGAGCACAAAACAGACGGGACAACACGAAAAAAGAGAAGCGGGACGACGAUGUUAUUGGACUUGCAUGGAUUAUGCACGCGGUCUAUAUACAUUGCUACUGGCGAAACAAAUUCUUGCAGCCAUAAAAUUGGAUGAAAUAUGGAUCUGGCAAUCAAAAGAACAUGGGUAUAUACAGUCCCUUUAGAAACGAUAUGAAUUCCAUGUAGAAGAACUAGACUGUCCUAGUUGUGGGCCAGUUCCUUUCAUUCGCCAGAUUCUAUUUUUUUUUGUCAAAAAAAAAAUACUGGAACUUAUUUGAAAGAGCCGAAUAUUAUUGACACACUUUAGCUGUCAAGAUUAUAAGCAAAUCCCUUUUAAAUUUUGGGGAAAGAAUGACUUUGCGGGAAAAUGUAAAUGGCGGCUUCCUUUACGAACGCCGUUCUCUUUUGUCAUUUACUGUCAUCAAAACUGAUUUCAUCCGACGGGGUUGGUAUAUACACAUCUCUCUCUUUUUAUUUUUACUGGAUUGUUGUCAAUAUAAUGAACUCUCUCUUUCACCAACGAAUUUGCAUUAAUAUAAAGAGAAAGGCGUGACAUCCACUAACGUCAACUAAUAGCAUCGGAUCGUGUGUAUCAUCUGCGAGAGGAGAGAGUGACGCCAAUUUAUUCUUCAAACACUAAUUACAUUUAUGCAUGUAAUACACAGAGAUGCCGACUAUCUGAAGUCGAUUCGAAUGAUUUUUUCAAAUGCGUCUAUUUUGUUUCGCAAGUCACGGUAUAAAAGGCAGUUCGUCUAUAGCAAUAAAUGCAAAGUAUGUCGCCGCAAGUAUUCGUCGUCUCCCAUCACCCCCUAUCUAAUUCUUUCACCACACGUUUUUUGAAGAAGCGCUGGAACAUUCCAUCAUCAUUGACAUGAUCACCUCCGAGCGGCUCAUUAUCAGUCAUCCCGAUCUCCCGCCGAGUUUGCUGCUCAUCACACAGCACAGAAAUGCAGUUCAACGAACGCGUCACAACACUCGAGAAGGAACGGUUGCAAAUUGGCUUUCCCUUUCACAUCACCAGACAUUAUCAUUAUUUAACGUAAAAAACUCAGCUUGAAAGAAUGCAAAUGAAUCAAGAGAAAAUGUUCAGUAACAGAUGGGAAGACAAGACCCAACAUGUUUAUGUAAUAUAAAUGGAUGUUAUUACAUAUACACUAUAAUAUGCACAUACCGCUAUUUGUAAACGGUUCGAAUUACAUCUUACAGCAUAUUUAUAGACAGCGCCCACUACAACAUACUUAUACUACACAUACAAGACGACAAUACAUUUGGUAAUUCAUUUCAA